Long non-coding RNA from Hemicordylus capensis (graceful crag lizard), 6767 nucleotides. RefSeq lists it as uncharacterized. The transcript is spliced from 3 exons. The record is from RefSeq and is a predicted model, not a curated record. NCBI's taxonomy places the organism in Eukaryota, Metazoa, Chordata, Lepidosauria, Squamata, Cordylidae.
GGUGGUGGCAUGCCCGAGAAGGAGCCAGCAAAGCUGCCACCUCCCAAGCGACCUCGUGUCGCAGGAGAGUCCAGCAGUGUGGACUGAGAUCACUUUGAGCUUCGCCCUGGUGAUCCCACCCAUGCUGAGUGCACCCACUGCAAGGCGCUGGUCAGCAGAGGCAAGGACCCUAAGCACUUCACUACCUCGGGUCUGUUGUUGUAGCUGCGCCAGCGGCACCCAGGUGGGGAGACCUCUGCUGGCAGUGGCAGUAGGCCCAGUGCCUCGACUAACAGUAGUGGCAGCAAGCGGCCAGUGGCUCCUGCUCCUAGGCAGGAAAAACUGACCGAUCGUCAUCAGUGGAUGCAAUCUCUGGGAAAGCGGUCUGAUCACCCAAAAGCACAUCUCGUGGCUUGGGCCAUUGCUGAGAUGAACGCUUUGGAUGACCAGCCGUUUUCCAUUGUUGAGAAUGUCGGCUUCUGCCGUCUGCUCCAGCUGCUUUCCCCAGAUUAAAAGAUCCCCUCAAGGAGCACCUUCAGCAGGAGGGUGGUCCCGUCCUUGUACCAUGCGUGCAGGGAGGCUGUGUUGGCCCGGUUGCGUGCAGCUGGGCCCAGCACCAGUGUGCAUUUCACUGCGGAUAUCUGGACUAGCCGCAGCGGGCUGCACACUGCCUUCAUGUCCCUGACAGCCCACUGGUGGGGGCAUGGGGGUGAGGGGACAUCUGGCUCUGCUGGCGCUGUAUCCAGCUCCUCCCAUGCAUGCACGCCUUCUUGGGCAGUGUUGCAUGUGGAGGCGAUGGAUACAGACCACAGGUCGGGUGAGUUGGCCGCCAUCAUGGACCGCUAGGUGGGGGGUUGGCUGACAGUGGAGUCAAGCCUCUGACGAGGCUUCAUGGUGACAGACAAUGCAGCUAACAUCAGCAAGGCAGCUAGGCAGGUUUACGGUGUGAACAUGGCAUGCGUUGCGCACACCUUGAACCUGGUGGUGCAGGAUGCGCUUGGGCUCAAGGAGGCGGCGAAGUCCAAGCUGCGUGCGAAGGGUGUUAGUUAAGCUAAGGAUCCUGCUGCUCCCGUGGCCGCUCUUGUGGAGCAGUGCCGCAAGAUAGCGGGUGGAGCAUGUGGAGUACAAAGUUAACAAUCAAUGGCGAGACAUUUGGACAGGUUAGCAUUAGAAGAGACAUAUUCCAAGGGGACUCACUAUCCCCUCUGUUGUUUGUAAUUGCCAUGACUCCAUUUUCACAAAUACUAAACAAAACAGGCCUUGGAUACCAAACAUCUAAAAGAUCAAGUCAAAUCAACCAUCUGCUCUAAAUGGAUGAUCUGAAGUUGUAUGGAAAGUCCCAGUCAGAAAUCGAAUCACUGUUAAACACUCUCCGUAUAUUCAGUAGCGAUAUAGCAAUGGAGUUUGAACUAGACGUGCUGCAUUAAUAAUGAACAGAGGAAAAAUAAGAAAAACAGAAGGAAUAGAACUGCCCAAUGGAAGCAAGAUCAAGAACCUGGAAGACAAAGAACAUUACAAAUACUUGGGCAUUCUCCAGGCUGAUAACAUUGCACACACUGAAGUUAAAAGAAAAAUUGGAAGUGAAUACAUCAGGAGAGUUAGAAAAAUCCUCAAGUCCAAACUCAAUGGCGGGAACACCAUACAAGCCAUAAACACCUGGGCUAUACCUGUUAUCAGAUACACUGCAGGAAUAAUAGACUGGACCCAGGCAGAGCUGGAGACGCUAGAUCAUAAGACCAGGAAAAUAAUGACCAUCAAUCAUGCUCUGCACCCCCCACAGUGAUGUAGAUAGGCUAUACCUCUCUCACAGCUCAGGUGGAAGAGGAAUGCUGCAAGUCCAUCAAACGGUAGAGGAGGAGAAAAGAGGCCUUGAAGAAAAUAUCAAGGACAGUUAAGAAGAUGCACUUCAAAUGGUCAAUAACGCAAAACUAUUCAACACCAAUGAAAGAAAGCAGGCCUACAAGAAAGAACAAGUCAAGAACCGAGCAGAAAAACGGGAAAAGAAGCCACUGUAUGGUCAAUAUUUGCACAAUAUAAGUGGAAAAUCAGACAUCACCAAGACCUGGCAAUGGCUUCAGAAUGGUUACUUGAAGAAAGAAACAGAGGGUUUAAUACUGGCUGCACAAGAACAGGCACUAAGAACAAAUGCAAUAAGAGCAAAAGUCGAAAAAUCCACAACAAACAGCAAGUGCCGCCUUUGGAAAAAAGCAGAUGAAACAGUGGACCACCUAAUCAGCUGUUGUCAAAAGAUCGCACAGACUUACUACAAACAAAGGCAUGACAAGGUAGCAGGGAUGAUACACUGGAAUAUCUGCAAAAAAUACAAGCUACCUGUAUCCAGAAAUUGGUGGGACCAUAAAAUUGAAAAAGUUGAAGAAAAUGAAGAUGUAAAAAUAUUAUGGGACUUCCGACUACAAACAGACAAGCAUCUGCCACACAAUACACCAGACAUAACUGUAGUCGAGAAGAAAGAAAAACAAGUUAAAAUAAUCGACAUAGCAAUACCAGGGGAGAGCAGAAUAGAAGAAAAAGAAAUAGAAAAAAUCACCAAAUACAAAGAUCUACAAAUUGAAAUUGAAAGGCUGUGGCAGAAAAAGACCAAACUAAUCCCAGUGGUAGUUGGCGCCCUGGGUGCAGUUCCCAAAGACCUUGAAGAGCACCUCAACACCAUAGGGGCCACAGAAAUCACCAUCAGCCAGUUACAAAAAGCAACUUUACUGGGAACAGCCUAUAUUCUGCGAUGAUAUCUAUAACAACAGCAACAACAUUGACCAUAAAAUUCAACCAUCCCAGGGAAGGACUCGAUGUCUGGAUAAAACAAACCAGUCAAUAACACCUGUUUGACUGUGUAAAUAAAUAAUAAUAAUAGAACUUGAAGUUACCCAGUGGCAGUAGAUUCAGGACAGACUGCUUUGCACAACGCAUCUUUACGUUGCGGGAUUCCCUUCGAGAUGUCGGGAGUGCCACUGACUUCACUUAAGAAUUACGCCAAUUAAUGGAAGAUAGGUCUGUCGAUAGACAGGUGAACUCUGGGAAGCCCCGUGAACGAAUGCAGGUAUCCCUCUGAGGGCUGGAUGCUGAGGAAAAACAGAAUAAAUAACAGGGAGAGGGGGAGAUGACUUGCCCCAGCUUGUGCCCCAUUUUAUCCUCCAAUGCAAGUCUCUGGAAAAAAGAUACUUUCCUCCUGCUCAGUUGCCUAUGUGCUGUGAGCUUUGGAGUUGCUUCUUGUGAAUGAGUGAGUUUUUUCAGAGAAUUGGAAUGGAAAGGGACAGACUGUACUUGCUGCUUAUAUGUCUGACGUACAACUGUGCUAGUGGUUGGUUGGUGGGUUGGGUAUUUUUCUACCUCCCCUUUAUGAUACUAUUUGGAAAGAAAGUCACUUCUGCUGUAUUAGAUUGACUGGCCUGGAUCUUGUGUCUUUCUUUCUUUCUUUCUUUCUUUCUUUCUUUCUUUCAUGACGCCUAGAACUACUGAUGGAUGGGCUAAAAGCCCAAAUUCCAAAACAGCCAUCCCAAUUCCUAGAGGAAAGGAACAUAGGAAACUGCCAUAUACUGAGUCAGACCAUUGGUCCAUCUAGCUCAGUAUUGUCUACACAGACUGACAGCGGCUUCUCUAAGGUUGCAGGCAGGAACCUCUCUCAGCCCUAUCUUGGAGAAGCCAGGGAGGGAACUUGAAACCUUCUGCUUUCCCAGAGCUGCUCCAUCCCCUGAGGGGAAUAUCUUAACAGUGCUCACACAUCAAGUCUCCCAUUCAUAUGCAACCAGGGCAGACCAUGCUUAGCUGUGAGGAAAAGUCAUGCUUGCUACCACAAGACCAGCUGUCCUUGUAGACCAGGUUUAUGUGUCUGAUGUACAACUUUGCUAGUGGUUGGUUGGUGGGUUGGGUAUUUUUCUAUCUCCCCUUAAUGAUACUAGUUGGAAAGAAAGUCACUUCUGCUGUAUUAGAUUGACUGGCCUGGAUCAUGUGACAUUCUUUCUUUCAUGACAGGCUAGAACUACUGAUGGAUGGGCUAACAGUCCAAAUUCCAAAACAGCCAUCCCAGUUCCUAGAGGAAAGGACUCUCUCUCCCUCUCGUUUUAUUGAAUGAAAUGGCUUAACUUCCCGAUAGACUUACCUGGAGUCCGUGAUGAGUCGGAUGAGGGAGAACAAACUGAGGCUGAAUCCAAGGAAGACAGAGCAUCUUUCACCAACUACAAAUGAAAAGAUUCCUAAGUUAAUGCAAACACUACACUGUGCUGCCAAUAGAGUGCAGCCCGUCAAGCUCGUCACUCCCACCCCAAUAUCUCAACUGUCUAAAAUCACAAAAAAAUCUUAGUCAUCAGCUCUGACUCCAAAAAAGGUGAUUUUGGUAUUUGCAGACCCUAAGCCUGCACAGUGAAAAAGCGGGGAACAUUAUGCUCCCAACAUAGACUCGAGAGACCGCUCCAUUGCCAACAAGAGAGACACCAGAGAAGUCACACCAAGAUCACCCUCCAAUCCUGAACGUGACUCCAACCCAGCUCAAAUGGAGGAUUAUACCAUCAACCCUAGCUGGUCUUCUCAACACCGACUGAAAAGCGUUCCCUGCACGAUACCGACUAUAUAGAAGAGACCCUACGUGAUACCAACGCUCUCCGGGUCACACGGAAUCCCCUCACCAUCUGUACUCUCUACUCUCCUAAACGCUAUUCCAUAGGAUCCAGUGUAUUGCUACUGAGAACGUCGACAUUGAGACUACUCUCCAUCUGAUCAUGCCUGAUCGUUCCACUUACAUCUUCGAUGACAGAUCUGUCAUUGAUGAUAGAGAACGCUAUCUCCACCCUUGCUCUUGGGCUCCACAUCGAAACCAAUAUCCGGGGAGAUUGGACCAUCCAGACUCUCGGUCCUGAUCACACUCUCCUCAGCACUGCAGGUCUUGGUCUCAGUCAAGAGAUAAGAGAACUCAACCACCUAAGCAGCUGGACUUUGACCUCCUACCACCGGAUUCCUCGACUGAAGAAUCCGCCUCAGAGGAAGAUGCAGAAACAGCCCUGGACAUCGCAUGGGGUUCCACACCUUCAGAUCUAAUUGAAGAUCCAAAGCCUCUGCCUCCCUCGGAGUACCUGAAGCUCUUCACUGACCAAGUGGCCUAUAUGGCUACCUCUUUAGGUAUCCAGGUUAACGAACCUCCUAAAUCUCCUCCUGAUCCCAUUUUUGGGCCAACUGAUGCUGGAACUUUGCACUCUUUCUUCCUACCACUGAACUCUGCUUGAAUGGACAUUGUCAACACUUGCUGGGCAUUUUUGCCACCUACCUCUCAGAAGCUGGAAGGUUUUUUACAAGGUUCAAGCCAGGGACAAUCAGUUCCUUCUGUGCCAUCCUACUCCUCACUCCAUUAUAAUGGAAUCUGCUCAGUCCUGUUCAAAGAACAGAAUCCAUUCAGCAGCAUCUGACACAGAAGGCAGAAAAGCAGAUGCCCUUGGGCCUGUCCCCUUUCCAAACAGCUCCUCCAUAUACGUCUCGCCAUGCCACUGACUGUUCAUUCAAUGCUUGCUGCAGCAACUCCUCGCUGGCACACAUGGAUGUGUUCAUCUACAUUGGCACCUGGAACAAGAGGAAGAAGAAGAGAGAAUUUGACCUUUUGAUGGCCAGGCUCUUGUUGGAAAGGAGACAAAAUGGAAAGGAGACAAAAACUGAAAAAUAUGGCAAGACCUAUGACCUCCCAACAACCUGCCUACAAUUCCUCAAGGGGCAACAAAUCCUCUUCUUCUGCUGCUGCUAUAUCAUUUUGUCCUUCCAGCUACUCUCAAUCAACUAACCGUUCCUUUCGUCCUUCUAGGACCUCCCUAUUUCAGAAAAGACAGGUCUCCUUCGUAAAAUCACAAUCUUCCAAAUCUCAACCACCAGUGCAUAGCAAGUGCUCGGGACUCAAGCAGCUGCAAAUAUUAUUCUUUGAAGCACUCCACACACAAAUCGGGCUUUGUCUCCCAAAUUCUAGCUUAUCUCGGUGUAUUUCUGGGUUUUUUAAAUGCUGCUUUUAAUGAGAUUUUCUCCAGAGCAAAUAGGGAGAGGCAUUGACGUAGAAUCAUUCACAUGAUAAGAGGGAUAUAAUCUUUUAGGAAUGCAGAUAGAGGCUUUAGAAAUCUCUCUCCCCACCCCGCCAUUGGCUAGAAGGAAAAUACGGAGGCACGCGAUGUGAACUUGCACCAAAAGAAAACCUGAGAGCAGAGGGGAGGGGCUGCUUCCCUCCUUGUCACGAGUGCGAUUCAUUGUGUCUUCACUCAACACUGACCCCGAAGCAUGAAGCCAGGUGCGAAUAACUCCCUGGCCUUCCAGGAUUUUCUAACGGCUUUACAUGUUUUCGUUGUUCAUGGUUUUAGACUGUUUUUAAAAUUGUUUUGUAAGGAUUGUUUUUAAAAGUGCCUAGGUAAUGAGAGCAGCAGUAGCCAUCUUGCUGCCCCUCGGGCAUCCCAAUAAUCUGCCCAUUGAGGGAACUGCCUGACCUUGCCUCAUGGAAGGACCGCCCUUACCUGUCAUCACUGCUCCAUUAAGGGUGUGGAGAGCUCACUUUACAUAGGCCUCUGGAUUAAAGGCAGCAAAGUUAGUUGUCCUGUGUGUCCAUCAGGUUAACAUGUUCCUUUUGUGAUAUAGUCUGGGAUCCUGUGUAACUUUGUGGCAAAGUUUGUGUGAGAUGUCUAUGGGUGGUUUUGUUUGAUUUGAAAACCAAUCCAGAUCCCAUACUUUACAAUAGCCUGCGGCAAUGUGUUCAUUUUUGGAAAGGUUGACGUCCUGACCCCCAGUUCAUUCUUGUGCUGAAGAGUGUGUGUGUG